This 2003-nucleotide ribosomal RNA is filed under the name Triticum aestivum (bread wheat). Its description in RNAcentral is "partial small subunit ribosomal RNA". Lineage: Eukaryota; Viridiplantae; Streptophyta; Magnoliopsida; Poales; Poaceae. The record is from RNAcentral.
GGUUUCAUGGGAACGGUUAGUUAACUGGACCUUAGCGAGCUCUCGAAAACCAGGAACAAGAGCAAGAGUAGGAGUAGAGCAGAGAGCGUGUCCUCUGCCGCCGCCGAUGACCUGCACUGAGCCGCCGCCGCUGACCUGGACCACCACCAUGAGUCGCCGCCACCGAUGUAGGGACGGUCCUCUGGUGUUAAGUCUACUCGAUCCACAACCUCUACCUACUUUGCCUCUCCCCACUGGUGCAGCAACCUCUGCCGAAGCUAAAAGGAGAAAACAAACAAGGGCUCGUCUCCAAUGGUUCUAAAGACACUUCGUGUUCACGAGGAGAUGGCCAUCCUAUUUUUUGUCGUACUGUAGAGUUCCUACCCAUCGUGUCUCCUGGCAUGGGGAAUAUGUCUCACUGGGAUGUUAACCUACGUUUCUCAACAACCUCUUAAACGUUCUAUGUAUACCGUGAUGGUGACUGAUAGUAUGUCACACCUUUCCGUUUCUAUAUCGUGUCUUUCUCUAAAUACCAUCGUACUCCGUUUCAAAAGUUAUAAACAAAUUGAAGCUUCGCCUUCAACUCUUCUCUAGGGGUCCGUUGUAACAUCUCCACCUAUACUUCUACCAAGUGCCAUAUCAAGUGAAAUUGGCUAAGAAAUACCGAGAAUUUGGAACGUAACUACCGAAAUUUCGACCAACAUCUGGUACAGAAUCAUAUCUGAGUUGACGUGAAUAGCGAUUUACCUCUCCAGUGAAUCGGCGAACAUGUCGUAAUCUACCCGUAUUAACCUACAUAGGACAUCGUAAACGUAAGUAACUACCAUUUCGGCUGCUUUUAACCUGUACCAAGUACAGUGUUGAGUUGUUCCGUAAUCCAGUACAAAGGGGAGAUCGAUAUACGUAUCUACGUACAUUUCCAAAUCUCUUACGUCAGUUUUUUAUAAGGGAGUACGUCUAGUUUCCCUCACAAAAUCCGUAGAGUACCGAUUGAAGAGAUUUUUCAAGGUUCCUCUACACAAACCGUCUUACACCGGUCGACGAUCCCGUAUAUUCGGUAUUCAAAAAUUGAUGGUGUACUUAUUUUAGGAUCGUCUUCGUGGACUACACGUACUUAUAGAAAGUUCCAUGGUGUUGAAUUUUACCUACUCUACGUACAAACUGGGGAGGUAAUUUACACUAAUGUAGUUGAUAUUGGAACGGCUCAGAAAAUUACCAACCUAAUUUCUAAUGUUUCUAAACGGUGGACUACUCGAUCGACUGUGAGAAUCUCUCGAUCAGUACUUUGAAGUACUCUUUUCCUCUUUCUAACCUUACUUUGACUUUCCUUUUUAAUAAGGUCGGUAGUAGGUUGUUUAAGUAUUAUCCUGUUCCCCUGAAUUUGUAAACUUUCAACCCUUUAGACCUCAACGUUCAACACUCCACUCCCUGUGUUCAUUUAUGUUGAACGCUGUACAGCACUUUUGAACGCUGUACACUCGACUACUCCGUUGUGUACGUCGUGGUGUUGAACUUCAACAACACUGAGGGUUAUCCGUGUGCUAGUGAUACGGUGACUUAGAAGUUCCAUCAGGGUUAGGACACUGAUCUUCCAUUUGUGUAGUUGACAAGAAACAUUACAAUUAAAAAGGAAGGUUUAGAAUAUAAAGAGUUGUGUACGUCCUACAACCGAUACCGUAACCGACUACUCCGUAGCGUCGUUGGAUGGGGUUAACACUUCCUGUGGUGCUACCGUAUACUGUACCGGAGUUGGAGCUUUCGAUCCUUCAACUGGGGCUUCUCUUCCUUCUAGAUCACAACACGUAGUAGAAGAUACAAGAGAUACGAAAACCAACAUCAUACAGUCUGAACCGUGGGUAAUGAAACACACGUUGUACCGUGGUUAAUAACGGAAUACAAAAACCAACAUUAUACGGUCUGAACCGUCGGGGAUGAUUAAACACGUUGUAGUGUCGGAAUACAAUCUACUACAUACUUUUACCUACUACAUACCUGUACACUUUAUAUACAAAAUUCGAUAUAAC